This 70-nucleotide transfer RNA is filed under the name Scinax albicans (Teresopolis snouted treefrog). RNAcentral describes it as "tRNA-Val". It matches the Rfam family "tRNA". Rfam says of the family: Transfer RNA (tRNA) molecules are approximately 80 nucleotides in length. Their secondary structure includes four short double-helical elements and three loops (D, anti-codon, and T loops). Lineage: Eukaryota; Metazoa; Chordata; Amphibia; Anura; Hylidae. The record is from RNAcentral.
CAAGGCGUAGCUUAAUUUAAAGCAUCUUGCUUACACCAAGAAAAUACCUGCUUAAACCAGGUCGUCUUGA